AAUUUUCAAAAUGUUUUAAAAAUCUUGACAGUUGGUAUACUUUACCAUUUUUGUCGAACGUUCAACAGGUGUCAACUCAACUGAAAUAUUUGAAUUAGAAUGUCUAAUUUAUAAUAUCUGUUAUAUGAUAUCGAUAUACAUAGAAUACGAGCUGGAUAUUGUACGAAUAUUUGCCAGUUCCGGUAAUGUGGAAGUUUAGUGAAAGUAAUAAAUAUCGUCGGGAAAUUGAUGUAACAGUCUUGCUCUAGACUUCGGUCUAUCUCGUCAUUCUAUUACGAACCGUAACGCCUUCUUAAACUACGACGGAUUGCUCCUUUUAAUAAGUGAAAGGUGUUUCAUAGUUCGUGGUCGACAUUUCAACAUUAACUAGAAUACUGUAUUUGGCCGAAAUAAACUGUAUACUCAAAAUAAUUAUAAAAUCUUCUCUUUUCUAGUCAACCGAACAAGCAAUUUCCACGAUGGGAAAGUCACGAUGGUGGUUACAUCCUUAGCAUGAAACUGUUCGAAUGAAUAGAGAGUUGAAGAUGCAUCUGAGGUCGAAAAAAAUUAUGUUGGGUCGAAAGUGAAACUAUCAUUUCAAUGUGGAAAUGUGAUUGAA
Apis dorsata (giant honeybee) is the source of this 598-nucleotide long non-coding RNA. RefSeq lists it as uncharacterized. The transcript has 2 exons. The record is from RefSeq and is a predicted model, not a curated record. NCBI's taxonomy places the organism in Eukaryota, Metazoa, Arthropoda, Insecta, Hymenoptera, Apidae.